Molecule: ribosomal RNA, 250 nt
Filed under: uncultured bacterium
Lineage: Bacteria
Description: partial 16S ribosomal RNA
Rfam family: Bacterial small subunit ribosomal RNA
Source: RNAcentral
UAAGGAAUAUUGGACAAUGGAGGGAACUCUGAUCCAGCCAUUCCGCGUGGAGGAAGAAUGCCCUAUGGGUUGUAAACUUCUUUUGGAUGGGAAUAAAAUGCCCCUUGCGAGGGGAACUGAAGGUACCAUCAGAAUAAGCACCGGCUAACUCCGUGCCAGCAGCCGCGGUAAUACGGAGGGUGCGAGCGUUAUCCGGAAUUACUGGGUUUAAAGGGUGCGUAGGCGGAAAUUUAAGUCUGGGGUGAAAUAU